CAGUCGCGUUCUCUGGGAUUCAGCCUUGCUUCUUGCUUGGUGCAUUUCCUAGUCUACGGGCCAGCAUGAAUCUUGAGCGGUGGAAAAGGGUUUGGGGAAUGUGGCACCUCCGGGUGUGUUAUAGCCCCUUGCUGUAUACACUGGUUGGGAUUGAGGUUUCAGUGCACGCCGCAAGGCCGGGUUUUUAACCACGUACGUGCCUAGGAUGUUGGCAUAAUGGCUUUAAGCGACCCGUCUUGAAACACGGACCAAGGAGUCUAACAUAUAUGCGAGUGU
This 276-nucleotide ribosomal RNA is filed under the name Rhizophagus intraradices. The record is from RNAcentral. Lineage: Eukaryota; Fungi; Glomeromycota; Glomeromycetes; Glomerales; Glomeraceae.